This 253-nucleotide ribosomal RNA is filed under the name uncultured bacterium. RNAcentral's name for it is "partial 16S ribosomal RNA". It matches the Rfam family "Bacterial small subunit ribosomal RNA", at positions 524 to 776 of the family's 1533-position model. The record is from RNAcentral.
AACGUAGGAGGCAAGCGUUAUCCGGAAUUACUGGGCGUAAAGCGCGUGUAGGCGGCUGCGUGUGUCGGGCGUGAAAUCCCAUGGCUCAACCAUGGAAGUGCACCCGAAACUGCGUAGCUAGAGUCCUGGAGAGGAAGGUGGAAUGCUUGGUGUAGAGGUGAAAUUCGUAGAUAUCAAGCGGAACACCGGUGGCGAAGGCGGCCUUCUGGACAGUGACUGACGCUGAGACGCGAAAGCGUGGGGAGCAAACAGG